UCCAGGCUUUGCCCAGGAUGAGAACUCCUUGGUGGCUCUGUUCCAUGGAUCUUGCUCACGUGGGGACCCAAAUUCCACGAGCUGUGUUCCUGCUGCGUGAGCUGAGCCGCGAUGUCUGUGCGUGCCCUGGGCUGGUGUUAAACAGCUCUGCAGCCUCCUCGGCCAGCAGGUUCUGCUGGCCCUUUCUUGCACUCUGCUCCCCUGUCCCUGCAGCUGAGCUGACUUCCUGGGGAGCUGCACAGAGCUUUCUCCAGGUGCCCACAUGAGGAGAUUCAUUCACUUUGCAGUUGGAGCGAGUUUUCUCUCGAGGACCAUCAUUUUAUCCAUGUUUGGGAAAUAUCCAUCACUGCUGGGGGAAAGGGACUUCUCCUCCUGAGUGAAGACUGUGGGAUCUGACUUGAAGCAAGACAAGAGAAGCAAAGCCUCUGUGUGAACGUGGCAGAAUAGAAAAAAAGUCAUGUACAAAGCAAGGGGAAGAAUUCAGGCUGGUUUCAACUCAGGAUCAAACCCUUUAUAACGCUGGACUGAGGUGAGCUGGAACCAAUCCCUGCUCUGGCGAGCAGAGUGGGGCAGGGAUGAAGCUGGAAAGGACUGAGAUGCACAUGAUGCUUUUCCCAAGUUGUGUUACAGUUUGGGGGAGCUUUCAGAUUUGUGCCUUUAAACUGAAAGACUGAGAAGACAAAUCAAUUAUCCGAGAAAAGAAUGUGGAUAUUGCUGGAGGGAGGGAAGGCUCAGGCUCAGGGCAGCUGUGGAGUUUCCUUGGGGUUCCUUGAGCUGUGCAGGAGCAGCCUGUGGCUCCAGUUUGGUGCUCCCAUCUUUAAACCAUCAGUUAACAAAUGCAUUUCCUCCCUAGGGGGGUCUGUUUCCUCAUCCUACUGCUUUUCCAGAAUCCACAGUGUAUGUUCCUGCAGGAAUGCUCAGCCCUCGUCCUGCCCAGGCGGGCGCAUCCAGCCCAGGGUGUUCUCUGGCUCCAGUUUAAAUCCUGCAAUCCCUGUCAGCCGUGGGCUCGCUCACUCUGAGCCCUCUCUCUUGCCUGGCUCAUUUUGGGAACGCAACGCUGAGCAUCCCUGGAUCGGGAUGCCCAAGGCAAAGGGUUUCCAUCCCUGAAUUCACAUUGUUCAUGGCUCUGCCCAGGCCAGAGGGGAGAAUAGCUGAGCUGUUUACAAUAUUGUUUCAUAGACUGCUCAAAAGCAGCGCCUGUUUUCCAGAAGUGCAAUGAAACAUUUAUGAGUACGGGACGUGGUGCAGCUCCGGAGCUCUGCAGGGGACAAGGGACAGUCGGGGUGUUUGAUGUGCACAUCCCAGCUUAUGUGGGCUGUUGGCAAAGGAAUGAGCAGGACACAUUAUCUCAUUUUCACUCCCCUCUUCCAAGGUGCUGAUCCCUCAGGUACCCUGGUUUGAGGGUGAGCAGAGCUCAUAUCCCAAGCCCAGGGCAUGUGAGGUGCUGCGCUGCUCUGCUCUCCAGCUUUGCCUGGCUCUCUCUGUUUCUGUAUGCUGCAUAAAUCCUGGUAUAAAUCUAUGGAGCUGCAAAAGUCCUGUGCCUUCCCUGGAGUCCCUCAGGACAAGAUGAAACAGCCUCAAGUUGCACCAGGGAAGGUUUAGAUUGGAUAUUAGGAAAUUUUUUUUCACAGAAAGGUUUGUCAAGCAUUGGAACAGACUGCCUGGGGCAGUGGUGGAGUCAUCAUCUCUGGAAAUGUUCAAAAAAUAUGUGGAUGUGGCACUCAAGGACAGGGUUUGGUGGUGAACAUGAUGGUGCUGAUAGACUGAUGGUUGAACCUGAUCUUGGAGGUCUUUUCCAGCCUUAAGAACUCCCCAGUUCUCUGCGAUUUUAGGAUUUACGUCAGUGAAGAAAUAGACAAAGCAAAGCUGGAUUCUAGGAUUCUAAACCUUUGCUAAUCCAUGUUAACCAUAUUAAAUCUGGACAUUUAUUAGAAAGAAGCAGGUUCUUCCCUCUGUGCAGAAGAGAGGUCAUUUAUCCAUCCUUGUAUAGCUCCCUUUUGGUUAUUUCCAGUGCUCCAGCCUUUUUCUCGUGCUGAAGUUACAGCAAACCCUUCUGAAUAAUAACCUGUUCUUUUCCCAGCACAGGAUCACUCCAAAACUCCUUCAGAUUGUUAAAUAUAUGUAUUUUAGACAGAUAGACACUCUAACCAGAAUUCUACCCUGGCUGUAGCUAAAUGUGGGGAUGAAUUUGAGUUUUACUGUGAUAUCUGUGAUUGUUUCCCUGUAUCUCUGGCAUGAGGGAUCCCAUUGUACUUACCAAGUACAUUGUGCAUCCAAGAUGUCUCAGCUUUUAUGUGAUUUUGUCUACAUUUCUCAGGAUUUAAUAUUUGAGGUUCCUUCUAGGGAUGUAUCAAAGGAAAAGCUGGAUUUGAACUCCAUUCAGAAAGUUUUCACAUAUCCAGAAUUAGUGCUUAUAAAAGUGAUUUGGUUCUGUGGAAGAUGUUUUAUGAAUCUCCUGGAAAAUGGGGGGUUUUGUCCCACUGAGCAGAGCCUGGGCUGGGAGUGGGACCUGAGCAGGGCUGUGGUUUAACAUCCUCCCCACUCACCCAGGGACAUCCAGCCUAAACCCUUCCUUCCUGCCCAAAGUGGAAUUAUCAUUAACUCGUAAUUAGUUUUCAAGAACAGUUUUUUGGUUGUUUUUUUUUUUUUUUUGGUAGGCUGUGGAGUUCUUCCAAGAAUUUUUCAAUUUUUACAAAUGAAAAUAUAAGCUCAACCAGAUGCCAGUUAAAAUGCAGUUCCUUUCUACCAGCCAGCCCAGGCACCACAGGCUCAGCAUCACGACCUUUAAACAGCUUUUCUAGAACAAGCUGGGAGAACACUUUCUAAAAAGCCACAAUUGCAGCUGCUCUCAUUACUCAUAACAUCCCUGAUGGAGAGGAACUUAAAUAUAAUUCUUAAGGAACUUAAGCUUCAACAGCCCCCAGUAGACUUAGUUUAUGUGCAGAGCAGGCUUCCCUCGUGGAAUUACAGACUCGGGAUGGUGAUUAUAGUGUUGAUGAUAAUGUACAUUUUCUAAAUCAUUACUUCUGUAAGAAUAAAAUAAAAUAAAAUAAAAGGAGUGAAGUCUUU
RNAcentral lists this long non-coding RNA (3069 nucleotides) under Cyanistes caeruleus (blue tit). Its description in RNAcentral is "lncRNA (ENSCCEG00000020662.1)". Lineage: Eukaryota; Metazoa; Chordata; Aves; Passeriformes; Paridae. The record is from RNAcentral.